UCAUGGCGACGGCAACACGACGGUGACGAAAAAUCGAGACGUGUCUCAAACAGAGGCUUGGCGGAGGCUAGAUCAGCCCCUCAAGCUUCUCGGCCAAGGAGAGUUUGGCGCGGCUUGGCUGGUUUCGGUAGAGGCGGCUAGUCGCAAGGGUUGUUGGGGCGGAUGGUCAGGCCGGGACGGUUGAUUGGUGAGCUGCUGAAGGCGUGAGGGUGAGCUUGCGGUGGAAUUCUAGUGGGCGCUGGACGUUGCUGUGGAGUUGGGACUCUGGCAGUGGGAUUCUGGUGGUGAUGCAACAGCUGCCAAAAAAAAGAAGUUGGAGGUGGAGGGGGCUAUUCUAGCGGUGGUGAUGGCAUGAGAUGGAUGGAGAUGGCGGCCGUGGGUGAGUGUGGGUGGUGAGGAUGAAAUUAUGAUGGGAUGAGGCGGUGAAUGAAGAUAGCAUUGGCAGAAGGAAGGGGAAUGAGAAAGUGAGGGAUGGAGGGAAGAAGAG
This 487-nucleotide long non-coding RNA is filed under the name Eucalyptus grandis. RNAcentral describes it as "long non-coding RNA (EGRA_LNC005074)". Lineage: Eukaryota; Viridiplantae; Streptophyta; Magnoliopsida; Myrtales; Myrtaceae. The record is from RNAcentral.